GCACAAGCAGCGGAGCGUGUGGUUUAAUUCGAUGCUACACGAAGAACCUUACCAGGGUUUGACAUACAAGUAGUAGGGAAAGGAAACUGGACCGACCUUCGGGGAGCUUGUACAGGUGCUGCAUGGCUGUCGUCAGCUCGUGUCGUGAGAUGUUCGGUUAAGUCCGCUAACGAGCGCAACCCUCGCUGUGUGUUACAAGUGUCACACGGAACUGCCGGUCAUAAACCGGAGGAAGGUGGGGAUGACGUCAAGUCAGCAUGGCCUUUAUAUCCUGGGCUACACACACGCUACAAUGGAUGAUACAACGGGUUGCUAAGGAGCGAUCCGGCGCCAAUCCCCAAAAUCAUCCUCAGUUCAGAUUGUAGGCUGAAACUGCCUGCAUGAAGGCGGAGUUGCUAGUAACCGCAGGUCAGCAUACUGCGGUGAAUACGUUCUCGGGCCUU
RNAcentral lists this ribosomal RNA (443 nucleotides) under uncultured Anaerolineaceae bacterium. RNAcentral describes it as "bacterial SSU rRNA". It matches the Rfam family "Bacterial small subunit ribosomal RNA", at positions 923 to 1382 of the family's 1533-position model. The record is from RNAcentral. Lineage: Bacteria; Bacillati; Chloroflexota; Anaerolineae; Anaerolineales; Anaerolineaceae.